RNAcentral lists this ribosomal RNA (399 nucleotides) under uncultured bacterium. RNAcentral describes it as "partial 16S ribosomal RNA". It matches the Rfam family "Bacterial small subunit ribosomal RNA", at positions 360 to 776 of the family's 1533-position model. The record is from RNAcentral.
AAUAUUUCACAAUGGGCGAAAGCCUGAUGCAGCAACGCCGCGUGAAUGAUGAAGGCCUUCGGGUCGUAUAGUUCUUUGAUCAGGGAUGAUAAUGACAGUACCCGAAAAACAUGCCACGGCUUACUACGUGCCAGCACCCGCGGUAAUACGUAGGUGGCUAGCGUUGUCCGGAAUUACUGGGCGUAAAGGAUGCGUAGGUGGAUACUUAAGUGGGAUGUGAAAUCCCCGGGCUCAACCCGGGAACUGCAUUCCAAACUGGGUAUCUAGAGUGCAGGAGAGGAAAGCGGAAGUCCUAGUGUAGCGGUGAAAUGCGUAGAUAUUAGGAGGAAGACCAGUGGCGGAGGCGGCUUUCUGGACUGUAACUGACACUGAGGCAUGAAAGCGUGGGUAGCAAACAGG